This 301-nucleotide ribosomal RNA is filed under the name uncultured bacterium. Its description in RNAcentral is "partial 16S ribosomal RNA". It matches the Rfam family "Bacterial small subunit ribosomal RNA", at positions 509 to 807 of the family's 1533-position model. The record is from RNAcentral.
CAGUAACCACGGUAACACGGAGGGGGCUAGCGUUGUUCGGAAUUACUGGGCGUAAAGCGCACGUAGGCGGCUUUUUGAGUCAGAGGUGAAAGCCCGGGGCUCAACCCCGGAAUUGCCUUUGAGACUGGAUCGCUUGAACACGGGAGAGGUGAGUGGAAUUCCGAGUGUAGAGGUGAAAUUCGUAGAUAUUCGGAACAACACCAGUGGCGAAGGCGGCUCACUGGACCGUUGUUGACGCUGAGGUGCGAAAGCGUGGGGAGCAAACAGGAUUAGAUACCCCCGUAGUCCCUGUCUCUUAUAC